CCCUCAGUUAGACAUUUUAACAAACACCUAGUGCUCUCAACUGAGUCCCUCAUUCCCAGAGGAAUGUACAAACAAAUAAAUGAAAAUGGGGGAAAACAAAAAAAUUCUAGACCUAGUUGUUCUACACCUCCCUCGACCAAAAUCGGAACAACCCAAUUCAAAUUAUAGAAAUCAAAGACCAAAACAAAAGAAACCAGAAUGCUGAAACAGUAUUAGAAUGCAACCAAAAAAAUAAAAAAAACAAGUAAAGGACGAGGGUGCCGCUGCAGCAUGGCCAUCUGCACCAAGACGAGGAGGAGGAGGAGGGCGGCCACUCCCCACGGCGAGCUUCCCUCCGGCUGGCGGUGGUGGGUACGGCGGCGGCGGUCGUAGGGAGAGUACCCGAAGAAACUGAUGGGGUCCUCUAUUGAAGACAGCCACCGAACGAGGAGGAUCAGCACCACCGGGCACCGACGUGGCCAGGAGGACCCAAUUGGUCUACUCCUCGGCGGCUUCCUCAACGGACUCGUAGUUGGAGAACUACUGGAUGCCCAGAAAGAUUGAGACCAGGACGAGAAUUAGAGGAUGAAUCAACGUAAAAUACGUGCUAUGCAAAUCUUAUUGGAUUAACUAGCGAGAUUGACCGUAGAAUAAUUUUUUUCGAAUUGGGUUUUAUUUAAUAUAUUAUUUUAAAAUAAUAAUAAAAUAACAAAAAACUCCAGAUGUCAUGAAAUGGAAUGGAAUAUCAUUUUAAUAUUUUAUUUGUAUUCUAAGAAUAGGGAUUCCUGGAUACUGAUUUUUAGUGGGAAUAGGGAUUCCUUUCUAAGGUGGGGAUACUGAUUCUGACAUAAACUUGGAGUCACCCCCAACUCCUCCCCGACUCUCCACGUUACUCCCCUCACUCUCCCUCCCUCUCUCUCUACUCUCUCUGCACUUUCUCCCAUCCCUUUCUCCUCCCUUUUCUGCUUCUCUUCGCGGAGACGAGCUUCUGGGAAAUCUGGUUGGUAGCGGUGCAUUUCGGGCGCAGUGAGAAAUUAGGGCUUUUAUUCGUUGUUUUGAGCUCUAUUUGUGCUGUAAAAGUCGGUCAGUUUGAGCGAUUCGGCAACUGAUUUGUAGGGUUUUGGGACUCGAAAGUGUUGGGGCUUUGUUCCAAGAAUGUUCUCCCAGCGGUGGUUUCUUCAGUUCAGUGGCGUCUGGGUGCUGCAGGUCGUGCGUGCUCAUUUUCAGCUACAGGAUUGAACCUCGGUUUGUUUCUAAUAUUAGCAGUUACCUUUGUUGCUGACAUUAAGCUACAGGUGUCAGGUGUGUCUACUACAGUCUAUCUGUUUAUAGAGUGUUGUUUUUUAAACUUCUUUCAGGUCUUAUAAUCUAGAAGUUGUUUUAAUGAGUGGAUCAUUAACUCAGUAGCUUUGCUGAAUUUACCCUUCAGCCUUUUAAAAAUUUUCAAACCAAAGAAAUUAAAAAUUAUUCAUCAUCAUCCUUUUCUAAGUUACUUGAGAUUUACCUUGCAUGGAUUAUUCAUUAUGCUCUCCUACUUAAAGAAAAUUUGCAUUCAUGCAUGUGAAGAGCACUGUGAAAGGUCUUCAUUGUCUGAACUGGAGAUGAUUUUGCUGUGGUGAAUGGGGGAAUUGGGAAGAUAACUGAAAAAUGGCUAAGCCAAUUGUAUUUUCUUUUUAUAUUAAAUAGCAUUAAGGCAUUAAGAAUGAAGUUUUGUUCAAAUCUUACUGGAAAAGUGGGCGAAAGUUCAUGCUUGUUAGAGGACUGUUGAGCCUCUGCUGCCACAAUAAUUAACAGUCUCAGGAUAGACAAAGAAAACCUUUCUGUUUUGUCUUUUUGUCACCUUGUUUUUUUUUUCCUCUUCUAUUUUAGAUGCUCAAAUAUAAGCACCAUCAAGCUAUCUAAUUUGUCAGCAAAUAAGUUUCCACUUGAACUCUUCCAGUUUGAAUACUCUCUUGAAAGUUGAAAACAAUAAUGUCAAUCAGCACGUGGAGGAGAGCUGAACUGAAAACAACAAUCAUGUUAAAAGAUCACCCAUUACAAGAGGAAAAUCUUACUAACAUCAAUUGCCUAUGUGAAGCAACAGAAUCCAGCCAGUAUAGCUGUCAAAAUUUGGCAGAAAGUGCCAUAAACAUCAACUAAUGUGCUUAUUUUGUGACAUAAAACAGCACAAGGCACAAAUAUGAUUAUUAAAUACUAAACCAAGAGCAGAGUUUUUUUUAUAGGUAUGUAAUGCCAAUAAGUAUUCCCAAUACAGACCACAAACAGUAUAGCAUGCAGUGUAUACUUCUAUGUGAUAUGAAUUUUUAAUUUUAGUUCCCAGUUCAUGAGCAAACUUCAAUUUUUAUUAUUAUUAUUAUUAUUAUUAUUAUUAUUAUUAAAGUUCUCAUGCAUCCAUAGGGCCUGACCCAGGCAGGGGCAGGCUCUUAAACCACCCUUAAACCCCCAACUCAAUGUAUGUAAUAUCAAUUUUUACUUUGAAUUUUCAUUUCUAAGCAAUUAAACUGAAAAUACGAGUCAUGGUUUACUUUCAGGCUUCAUACACACAGCUCAUGGCAAAAGCGCAAGCUUGGUCUGCUAUUCUAUUUGAAUAUAGUAGUAAAUUAACAUUCUCAAAAUUUUUGCAACUUUAUCAAGUGCCUGCUUUCUUAUUUGGUACUCAGUUUUAUAUGCAAUAUUGCAGUAAUACAACUUAAUUAAUGUGGAUCAUGUAACUAGUCAUGGGCUAGAAUAAAAUGUUGUCUUUAGUCUUGAAAACAUGGUUUGUAUUUUCUUCUUUCUAGGUAGCGCGCUUGGUUUUCGACCUUUCGCCUGCUCCGAGUUCUUGGGCGCACGCGCAGUUGAGCCUCCUGCUGAUUUUUUUUUCAUUUUACUUUCAUUUGCCUCCCUCUGUGGUUGGUUCGGGUUUUGUGGCCUGGGGCGUUCUGGGUCCAAGUCGCUCACCGUCUGGCGUCUGUCAAUUGGAUUUAAGUUUAGGAUCCUCAUUACUUCUAGUAAUGUCAGUAGCUAUUGCAUAUGCAAAUGUAUUGUUGACAAUAACUUUAUUUCUAUCCUAUAUUUCUCUUGUAUAAUGAAUUGAGAUCUUAUUAUUAUUUUCAGGUGCCUGUCAUUUUUCAAGGGAUGUCUCUUCAUGAGUUUUUUCUUCAAUAAAUUCCUCUUCAGGAGGUUUUAUAGUAGGAAUUUCAUUUUUAGGAGAAAUGAGUUUGUGUAUGUUGAAUGAAUUAUUCACCUCUGUAACCUCUUUUGGAGUGUUUACAAAUUUCAAUCUUCUCAUUCUAGGAGUUUUAUCUUUUGCAUCCACAGACCUUCCACGCUUAACUUGUGGUUUAGGUUCAUUAGCCGGCUGUUGUCCUUUAGGGACAUCAAUACAUGCUAGAAUAUUUGCAACAGGUCUAUGAGAUUUUAGUAUGAUCUUGGUAUCUGCAAAAGAAUCUGGUAAUUGAUUUGCAAUCCCUUGCAAAUGGAUAAUCUUCUGAAC
Malania oleifera is the source of this 3454-nucleotide long non-coding RNA. RefSeq lists it as uncharacterized. The transcript is spliced from 3 exons. NCBI's taxonomy places the organism in Eukaryota, Viridiplantae, Streptophyta, Magnoliopsida, Santalales, Ximeniaceae. The record is from RefSeq and is a predicted model, not a curated record.